This is a non-coding RNA of Mycena leptocephala, 89 nucleotides long. The record is from the annotation of a GenBank genome assembly. NCBI's taxonomy places the organism in Eukaryota, Fungi, Basidiomycota, Agaricomycetes, Agaricales, Mycenaceae.
GACCCAGUAGCGGAUGGUCCGCGUCUGCUUGCAUUAUGACGUUAAAUGUUUAUAAGCAGAAAGAGCCCGUUCGAGUCGGGCCUGGGUCA